This is a long non-coding RNA of Petromyzon marinus (sea lamprey), 1813 nucleotides long. RefSeq lists it as uncharacterized. The record is from RefSeq and is a predicted model, not a curated record. NCBI's taxonomy places the organism in Eukaryota, Metazoa, Chordata, Hyperoartia, Petromyzontiformes, Petromyzontidae.
GUGUGGCGUCAUUUCCGGGAUGGGGCCACGUGUCGCCGCCUGGUGGACGGUACCCGUCUUGCACCCACGGAUCUCGCUCGCACACGACGAGUGCGGGUAUCCAAGCACCUUCAAGCAGCAGCUCAAGGCUCUCACCCUCGUUCAGGCUCGCGUACGAGAAUGGUGCAUACCCUCUUCAGCAUGAUGAGGGAGAGGGCGGCCGAGGCGGUGAACAUGAUGGCGAUGAUGGAGAGUAUGACGCCCACGGCGAUGUUCGAUGAAAAUGCUCCGAUCGUGGAGAUCCAUCCACUGGUGAAGACAGGCACACACAAAGACCCCCCCAUGUAGCCUAAACAGACUUUUGGGGUAAGUGCUGUGAGUAGCAUCUAUGAAGGCUGGCAAAGCACAUGAGGGGGUACUCAAUUAAGGCCGAGUCUACCUAUGCAAGGCCGAUGAUAGGAUCAGUUACCCCUUGCCAAUAAUGUAGUCAUAGUCAAGAAUUUAACUUAGGUGGCUGGGAUAGCUAUGGCCAAGUUCGUGUACGUGCUGCUAAUACCAAGCGAGGUGGCAAAGUGGGGAGCACAGAUGAUGCAUCUACCAGUCCUCCCAGUCAGUCUAACCAUAACACCCGGGUCUGUUCCAAUACAUUCUGCCAGCAGCGGUGAGCCUUCCACAUUUCACUUGAAGGCCUAAAAGUGCACCUAUCCUGGCACAAGCACUGUGGUGACAUCACCGCCACUUGGUGAUGAAUGGUGGCUGUUGUUGUUGUGUACCAGUUGCCCCAGCCUGGGAUGCCGACAGCCUGCAGCACGUGCACUACGAACUGAGCGAAGAAUAUGAAGAAGAAGAGGAAGAAGUUGAAGGAGCUGUCACUCCUGCCGAGACAUGGGAGGGGGGCACGAUGGAAUUAAAUAAAUAACAAUAAAACCACAAGAAUGAGAACAACAAGCGCGAGCGCUAACACGAGGCACGCCCACAUCGGUAAUGUCCCCGCGUACAAGACAUGGACAUCGGUGUAUUUUAUUAUUACACUCUACUGAGGAACCAAGCCUCAAGCCCCUUGUUCAGAAGGGUCCUGCCAAGUUAUCACAGUGGGGAGCGAUAUUGCUGCGAUAUGUAAUUCAUCCAAAAUUUAUAAUUUGCAUGGUAAUUUUAAGCAUUGGAAAUGUUUGGCUAAUGCCAAUUACAUUGUAUGUUUUUUUUAGCUAUGGGAAGAAACCGGAGAUCCAGGAGGAAACCUAUGCAGACCAGGGGGAAAAUGUACAAACUCCAUGUGGAAAGGUCCCUGAGCCGGAAAAGUCCCUUCUUGCUAUGAGGGGCAAGUGUUACACCACUGUGUUACACCACUAUGCCGCUACCCUGCCGCACAAAUAAUUAACAGAGUAACCCUGCAUGAUGCUAUUCAAAGCCAUUCAUUUCCUGUUCAAACAAGCAUUGAGGCGGUGCUGAUCUCCUAUUUACAGCCCUGAGACAGUUGUGGAAAUUCCACAUUCCUUUGGUCGGGAGAGUCUAUCCAGUGGACAACCACUGUUGACUUCUCCACUUCGUGGUGCUAAUUAUAUAAUCCCCAGAGGGUUCAUGAGCUGAGUCAACCUCCCAAUCAGGAUUUGAACUCGCAACCUUCCGACUGAAGAACGGCUCCAUCAAUCAAUCUUUAUUUUAUGUGCCAAUAUCGCCAUAAAUAAAGGAAGCAUCAGUGAACAUUACAGCAUAAUGGGAACGGUACAGGGGCAUAGAGCAACAGGAAGGAAAAAAUAAACCUGUCAUGACCUCAUCGGCUAACACCGACUGAGCAAAAUAAAUUGUUACGAUUGUGGGUGGAGAUUUAACUCAA